UCCGGUUUGUCACCGGCAGUCUCAUUAGAGUGCCCAACUAAAUGAUGGCAACUAAUGACAAGGGUUGCGCUCGUUGCGGGACUUAACCCAACAUCUCACGACACGAGCUGACGACAGCCAUGCAGCACCUGUGUUCAGGUUCCUUGCGGCACUCCCAAAUCUCUUCGAGAUUCCUGACAUGUCAAGGGUAGGUAAGGUUUUUCGCGUUGCAUCGAAUUAAUCCACAUCAUCCACCGCUUGUGCGGGUCCCCGUCAAUUCCUUUGAGUUUUAAUCUUGCGACCGUACUCCCCAGGCGGUCAACUUCACGCGUUAGCUACGUUACUAAUAGGUUUAACCCUACCAACAACUAGUUGACAUCGUUUAGGGCGUGGACUAC
Molecule: unclassified non-coding RNA, 377 nt
Filed under: uncultured Gammaproteobacteria bacterium
Lineage: Bacteria; Pseudomonadati; Pseudomonadota; Gammaproteobacteria
Description: contains 16S-23S intergenic spacer region
Source: RNAcentral